UGUUUACCUGAUAACAUAAUGAAAUAGCUAUUAAAAUUAAUAUCAUUACCACUUUAAUUUUACAGGCAAGAAGUUAAAAUUCUGAAAAGACUAUCCUGUAAGAACACUAGAAAAGGAGCAGCUCAUUCCCUUAGGGGUAGUCCCUAAUGUUUGUCAACUAGAACAACAGAAUAACAUGAACUGGCAAAGAGUCAGAUGCAGAUAUGUUAUAUGACUGGGUGUCUUACAGCAAAUCUUCUUAAGCACUGGCUUGCAACCAGGAUAGAGUAAGUUCAGAGCCUCACAGUCAAUUCCUGGAUUCGAACCUCAUAAUAGAUUCCUGAAUGCCUGGACACCACAUCACCCUAGCUCCCUGCCCGAAGCACCCUGCACUGGGCAGGGUUUAGGUUUUCUGGAUUCUUUUGUAUAUUUAUAACAAUGUCUUGGAGAUAUAGUUGUGAGGAG
RNAcentral lists this long non-coding RNA (444 nucleotides) under Sarcophilus harrisii (Tasmanian devil). RNAcentral's name for it is "lncRNA (ENSSHAG00000020503.1)". Lineage: Eukaryota; Metazoa; Chordata; Mammalia; Dasyuromorphia; Dasyuridae. The record is from RNAcentral.